UGAGACAGGUGCUGCAUGGCUGUCGUCAGCUCGUGUUGUGAAAUGUUGGGUUAAGUCCCGCAACGAGCGCAACCCUUAUCCUUUGUUGCCAGCGAUUCGGUCGGGAACUCAAAGGAGACUGCCGGUGAUAAACCGGAGGAAGGUGGGGAUGACGUCAAGUCAUCAUGGCCCUUACGAGUAGGGCUACACACGUGCUACAAUGGCGCAUACAAAGAGAAGCGACCUCGCGAGAGCAAGCGGACCUCAUAAAGUGCGUCGUAGUCCGGAUCGGAGUCUGCAACUCGACUCCGUGAAGUCGGAAUCGCUAGUAAUCGUGGAUCAGAAUGCCACGGUGAAUACGUUCCCGGGCCUUGUACACACCGCCCGUCACACCAUGGGAGUGGGUUGCAAAA
RNAcentral lists this ribosomal RNA (392 nucleotides) under Pantoea ananatis. RNAcentral describes it as "bacterial SSU rRNA". It matches the Rfam family "Bacterial small subunit ribosomal RNA", at positions 1030 to 1422 of the family's 1533-position model. The record is from RNAcentral. Lineage: Bacteria; Pseudomonadati; Pseudomonadota; Gammaproteobacteria; Enterobacterales; Erwiniaceae.